AACUCUCAAGCUGGAUGGGCUUUUAUUAGUCUGUCUUGGUUUGGAUGUGGACUCUUGCUGUGUUACAACGGCUGGUCUUAAAGGCAUUAGCUGAAUCUUGAUUGGGACUUGGUUCUUACUCGGCGUGAUAAUUAUCUGACCGCUGAGGACAUCUUUUGGGAUGGCCAGACUCUCUCUCGAAUCGCUUCUAACAUGCCGGAAAACUCUCUCUGGGACUUUUCCGUGCACUUUUCAAC
RNAcentral lists this unclassified non-coding RNA (236 nucleotides) under uncultured Sistotrema. RNAcentral's name for it is "sequence contains ITS2". The record is from RNAcentral. Lineage: Eukaryota; Fungi; Basidiomycota; Agaricomycetes; Corticiales; Corticiaceae.